UCCUGGCUCAGAGUGAACGCUGGCGGCGUGCCUAAUACAUGCAAGUCGAACGGAGAUUAAGUAGCUUGCUAUUUAAUCUUAGUGGCGCACGGGUGAGUAAUAUAUAGCUAAUCUGCCCUACACUAGAGGACAACAGUUGGAAACGACUGCUAAUACUCUAUACUCCUUCUUUACACAAGUUAAGUCGGGAAAGUUUUUCGGUGUAGGAUGAGGCUAUAUCGUAUCAGCUAGUUGGUAGGGUAACGGCCUACCAAGGCUAUGACGCGUAACUGGUCUGAGAGGAUGAUCAGUCACACUGGAACUGAGACACGGUCCAGACUCCUACGGGAGGCAGCAGUAGGGAAUAUUGCUCAAUGGGGGAAACCCUGAAGCAGCAACGCCGCGUGGAGGAUGACACUUUUCGGAGCGUAAACUCCUUUUC
This 421-nucleotide ribosomal RNA is filed under the name Campylobacter rectus. RNAcentral describes it as "bacterial SSU rRNA". It matches the Rfam family "Bacterial small subunit ribosomal RNA", at positions 17 to 438 of the family's 1533-position model. Lineage: Bacteria; Pseudomonadati; Campylobacterota; Epsilonproteobacteria; Campylobacterales; Campylobacteraceae. The record is from RNAcentral.